Small nuclear RNA from Hemicordylus capensis (graceful crag lizard), 105 nucleotides. The record is from RefSeq and is a predicted model, not a curated record. Lineage: Eukaryota; Metazoa; Chordata; Lepidosauria; Squamata; Cordylidae.
AUACUUCGGCAGCACAUAUACUGCAAUUGGAACGAUACAGAGAAGAUUAGCAUGGCCCUGCAAACCAGGGUGGACCCUGCUUAGCAAAGGGGACAAUUCAUGCUU